UCUUGCAAAAACAAACAAAGAGAACAAACACUCUCCAGUUGAAAUUUCAACUUGUCAAUUUUGGGUAGUAAGAGGGGGUGAGAGUGAGAGGGGGUGUGACUGAGAGGGUGUGACUGAAAGGGAAUGUGACUGGGAGGGGGUGUGACUGAGAGGGGUGUGUUUGAGAGAAGGUACGAUUGAGAAGGGGUGUGUCUGAGAGGGUAUGAGACUAAGAAGGAGUGUGUCUGAGAAGGUGUGUGUCUGAGAGGGGUGUGUGAGCGAGGAGGGGUGUGUCUGAGAGGGUAUGAGACUAAGAAGGAGUGUGUCUGAGAGAAGGUGUGUCUGAGAAGGGGUGUGUCUGAGAGGGGUGUGUCUGAGAAGGGGUGUGUCUGAGAGGGUGUGUGAGCGAGGAGGGGUGUGUCUGAGAGAAGGUGUGUCUGAGAAGGGGUGUG
Ictalurus punctatus (channel catfish) is the source of this 431-nucleotide long non-coding RNA. Lineage: Eukaryota; Metazoa; Chordata; Actinopteri; Siluriformes; Ictaluridae. The record is from Ensembl.